AACGAACGCUGGCGGCAUGCCUAACACAUGCAAGUCGAACGAGACCUUCGGGUCUAGUGGCGCACGGGUGCGUAACGCGUGGGAACCUGCCCUUAGGUUCGGAAUAACUCCCCGAAAGGGGUGCUAAUACCGGAUAAUGUCUUCGGACCAAAGAUUUAUCGCCUUUGGAUGGGCCCGCGUUGGAUUAGCUAGUUGGUAGGGUAAAAGCCUACCAAGGCGACGAUCCAUAGCUGGCCUGAGAGGAUGAUCAGCCACACUGGGACUGAGACACGGCCCAGACUCCUACGGGAGGCAGCAGUGGGGAAUAUUGGACAAUGGGCGAAAGCCUGAUCCAGCAAUGCCGCGUGAGUGAUGAAGGCCUUAGGGUUGUAAAGCUCUUUUACCCGGGAUGAUAAGGACAGGACCGGGAGAAUAAGCUCCGGCUAACUCCGU
Molecule: ribosomal RNA, 432 nt
Filed under: uncultured bacterium
Lineage: Bacteria
Description: partial 16S ribosomal RNA
Rfam family: Bacterial small subunit ribosomal RNA
Source: RNAcentral